Molecule: ribosomal RNA, 497 nt
Filed under: uncultured bacterium
Lineage: Bacteria
Description: partial 16S ribosomal RNA
Rfam family: Bacterial small subunit ribosomal RNA
Source: RNAcentral
GAUGAACGCUGGCGGCGUGCCUAAUACAUGCAAGUCGAGCGAACAGACGAGGAGCUUGCUCCUCUGACGUUAGCGGCGGACGGGUGAGUAACACGUGGAUAACCUACCUAUAAGACUGGGAUAACUUCGGGAAACCGGAUCUAAUACCGGAUAAUAUAUUGAACCGCAUGGUUCAAUAGUGAAAGACGGUUUUGCUGUCACUCAUAGAUGGAUCCCCGCCGCAUUAGCUAGUUGGUAAGGUAAAGGCUUACCAAGGCAACGAUGCGUAGCCGACCUGAGAGGGUGAUCGGCCACACUGGAACUGAGACACGGUCCAGACUACUACGGGAGGCAGCAGUAGGGAAUCUUCCGCAAUGGGCGAAAGCCUGACGGAGCAACGCCGCGUGAGUGAUGAAGGUCUUCGGAUCGUAAAACUCUGUUAUUAGGGAAGAACAAAUGUGUAAGUAACUAUGCACGUCUUGACGGUACCUAAUCAGAAAGCCACGGCUAACUACGUG